AGAUUGAACGCUGGCGGCAGGCCUAACACAUGCAAGUCGAGCGGUAGAGAGGUGCUUGCAUCUCUUGAGAGCGGCGGACGGGUGAGUAAUGCCUAGGAAUCUGCCUAGUGGUGGGGGAUAACGUUCGGAAACGGACGCUAAUACCGCAUACGUCCUACGGGAGAAAGCGGGGGACCUUCGGGCCUCGCGCCAUUAGAUGAGCCUAGGUCGGAUUAGCUAGUUGGUGAGGUAAUGGCUCACCAAGGCGACGAUCCGUAACUGGUCUGAGAGGAUGAUCAGUCACACUGGAACUGAGACACGGUCCAGACUCCUACGGGA
This 318-nucleotide ribosomal RNA is filed under the name uncultured soil bacterium. RNAcentral describes it as "bacterial SSU rRNA". It matches the Rfam family "Bacterial small subunit ribosomal RNA", at positions 26 to 346 of the family's 1533-position model. The record is from RNAcentral.